UUCAUAAGCUCUUUAGCUCUCUUUUAAUUUUUGUUUGUUUUAGUGGUGCCAAAAUGCAGAAAUUCAUGUCCUCACUGAACACAUACAUGGUUCCAGGAUACAUAAAUGUUCUCCAGGGCAUGAAAUCAGAAGGAUUGCAAAUGAGGAUACAGAAGGCAGGAAUUUUCCAUAAGUCACUGAAGGUCCAUAAUGGCUAUUGGCUAUUUGGCUAUUUAAAAUAAAAUAUCUCUUCUGGAUUGUCUGAUCCUGCUGCUACUGCCUUCAGUGGGGCUGAAUCAGGCAGUUAUCAUCAGUGCCAUGUAACUCCUCCCUUUCAAACCAUCCCUCCAGCCAUACUUUGUAAAGCUGCAGUCAAAUAAUUAUCAUGUGUAAAAGUACGUGCAGGAGCGGAUGAAAUUCUCUUCCUAAACAUAGCUUACAGCACAUCCAUUUAAGUGUAAAUGCUGGGGUUUCUGGACUUGAAGAGAAAAACAGAAUCAAAGGCAAAUGUUUACCUGCCAUGGAUAUGGAAGUUUCCUUCAUAGUCUCUUUAGUCAAGUACUCCUGGUUAGGGAAGUGAAGCUCAUUUUUCAGAAUGUUGUCCAUUUGCUAUUUUCUAAAUAAUUCUUCUUGGUCACACUAAACCUUAAAUUAACCCCCACUCCCACCUGCGUGCAAUUUUAGCACGAUGGCAUUAACUGCAGAAGGAACAAAAAAAGCCCUUCAGCUGCCACUUCAGCAUGCCCCAUAUCUUGGAUUGUUUUUACUUUCAGCUUUUAAAGUCAGAACAGGCAUCCAGCAAUAACCAGCCCUUCUUUUUUCCUCUAAGAGACUGGAGACUCUGCUGUCUUAAACAAGGGAGUUCUGUGAGCAGGAUCGAGGUUGUGCUUUUGGUGUUGUAGGUGUGAAGCUCUCAUAAGCUGGGCUUGCAUUUCUGGGCUUUGUUAAGCCUGGCAGCAAACAGUGCUGGGGAUGCAGCUGGCAGUGGGUACCUGGAAGGCCUUACAACCACACACAGAGCAGAGCUGAGAGUCUUCACUCCCUUCUAGAUGGAGCUGGCAUCCAUCCUGGAGUAUAGGCACAGUCCCCAAAGGUUUUUGUGUGGAGUGACUAAUCACUUUUCUCCUUAGAACUGGGCAGGGAAGCAUAAUAUGUGUGUGAUUACCAGAACAUAAAAGGAGCACAGGAUUAUUUUCCAUGGGAAUCCUUGGGAAUGUCUAGGAGGGUGGCUGUCUAAGGAGGUGUUCUCUGCAGGACCAUGAAACUCUCCUCCCAGCUUCCUCAUCAUUGUGCUGCGACUUAUCCCAAAGCUAUUCAGUGCUGCAUGGGGUUAACCAUGAGCCUUCUUUAGCUCUAACUCUCCACCUCUGAGUCCUUCCAGGACACUCAUAAGCCAUGUGCUAUAUUUGCCUAGCUGGAGUUGUUAUGAGGAUGUUGACACAAGGGAAAAUAUCUGCCUGGAGAAGAGGGUGGACUGGCACCCUUUGAAAUUAAAUAUGGCCAAGCAUCUGCAAAGGACUGAGUGGGUCAGUGUCACUGAGCAUCCCUGAAGCCAAGGGCUGAGCAAAUGAGGAGGCAGGCAGGGUACAUACAACUCAUUUCCCCUGUGUACCACAUACCAUCAAACAUCUGACCCAGCCAUGUCAGCAUUUCCAUAUUUCAAAUGCUUAAUUUAACUCCAGAAGCCUUUCCUGAUUGAUACCUGUGUGGGGGUUUCUCCCACAACCAGGUCUAGACUGGGUAAACCUGCAAUUAUAACCACUCAGACACUGAAUAGGACCCUGUACUCACAGCAAGACACCGGGUGUGAAAAGGAGGUCAAGCCACAAAAACUGGUUUUGCCAAAGUAGUCAGUCAGCUGUUCAUCAUGUCACCUGCUGAGGCUGAUCAAAGAGCUUUGCAGCAAAGGGAAUGUGGGUGUUCAGAGGGGAUGGUCUCACAAUAGCUGUGAGAGAAAGGGAGGAAAACCCAGGUGAAGUUUGGCUAUCAGAAGGCAGCUUUCUGAAAUACACUUAAAGGUUCAAACCUACUUGAAAUAACUCCAAGGAGUGGAGGAAAAGGUGCUUUUCCGAGAUCCAUCCACUUUUGUGCUCCCUGAAGUAAAACCAGAAUAUUUGGCAUCUGUUUGUUCAGUUCUCAUGAGGCCCUGGAAACAGCUGUAUCAAAAAUGCAGAAACCUCUCAAGGGUGGAAAGGCAUCUUGAGAGUAGAGCAGCCCUUCCCUUGUGCCAAAAGUAGCCUGGCUUUAGGACUAAUCCUGAGGUUGCAGUGACACGUGCAAUGUUCCUGCACACUUAUUUUUCAAAUUGUGGGCCAGGGCAUGCUGAGUUGGGAAUGCACAGGAGUAAAGGAGUGCUGCACAACUGGCAGCAGAAAGAGAAGGUUUUGUAGCAGUUUUUCUUCCCAAGCAUUCAGCACAAACAGGUAUGCAAAAAAGUUCAAGAAGCAGCUGUGCACCCAUCUCUUGUUGAGUCCAUGCCAGGGACUUGACUCUAGUGGCACUCCCAAAACCUCCAUCCUGCACCACUAUGUGUGAAAGAAUCACCCCCUGUCUCACUAAACCUGCUAAUGCCACCCUCUCACCAGGGUGGAAUUUGGGGGUGGGAAGGCUGAAGUGUUGAACUCAAGAUUAGAGCAUUUUCCUGCUAUCUGCACCACAAAGACAAUGUGUCAUGUGCUUGUGAGACUACGAUUUAGGUUUGUUAUCAUCUCUUUAUAUCAAAAGGAAGUUAUGCACACAAAGGAAACACCAAACCACCAUGUCAGGGGGGCUAUAAAUCACUUACUGCUGAAUGUGAAGAGGACAACAGAGUGCCCAGUAGGAAAGCGAGAGUUUUGAAAAUACUGCUUUUCCUCACCAUCUCCCUAUUUCAAUAAACUUUGCUUUUAUUUUGGAAGAGGAUGAAGGAGAGGACGAGGUUUGAGGAACACAGCUACAAAUGACACCAGAUUUGUCCCAUAGGCAUGACUCAGGCCUGACUGUGUGCACUGGUCAAUGCCUUCCCAGCCCUCAGCACAUUUGCUGCUGUUGUCCAAGUUGAUCCCAUGGUGUCCAGAAAAGCCAUAGAGGCAACGGUGCAGAGAUCACCUCAAUGCUGCCACUUUCUGCCCUAGUAAAAUGCAGGUUUAUAAAAACCAAAAAAUGGAGAAGUGGGAUAGUCAGCUCAUCUGGCAGCAAGGGUCUGUUCUGUUUGCUUGCUCUGGUCUUACCAGCCUCCAAAAGGACAUCCUGGGAAGACUGCAAAGAGCUCUCCACAUCCUCUUCCCCUGGCAGGUGCCCAAAAGGAUCCCGACAAUUCUCCAAACCACAUCCUAAAAUCCCACUCCCAAUGAAAGAAAAAAACUUCUGUAUUUCCAAACUCUGUGACCUCCCAAAAAGUGUCAGCCCUGAAAGACAUCACUCUGACUGCAAAUGUUGCAGAUUGUUUCUGU
This 3410-nucleotide long non-coding RNA is filed under the name Taeniopygia guttata (zebra finch). RNAcentral's name for it is "lncRNA (ENSTGUG00000025555.1)". The record is from RNAcentral. Lineage: Eukaryota; Metazoa; Chordata; Aves; Passeriformes; Estrildidae.